AGACAACUGAAAAAUAAAAUGCAUCUUCACUCUUAUUUUCUUUCCCAUAUUGAAACCUUGUAUUGAUACUAAAAGAAAAAUUAAAGCUUUUAUGGACAAAAAAAAAGGUUCAAUUCUAAUUAAAAAUGUUUGACUGGAAUGAAUCAUGAAAUCAAUGUAAUAAUCAUAGAUUUAAGUCGAAUACAAUCAAAAUCUAAAUAGAGUUCAG
Molecule: unclassified non-coding RNA, 208 nt
Filed under: Hevea brasiliensis (rubber tree)
Lineage: Eukaryota; Viridiplantae; Streptophyta; Magnoliopsida; Malpighiales; Euphorbiaceae
Source: RNAcentral